RNAcentral lists this ribosomal RNA (253 nucleotides) under uncultured bacterium. RNAcentral's name for it is "partial 16S ribosomal RNA". It matches the Rfam family "Bacterial small subunit ribosomal RNA", at positions 524 to 776 of the family's 1533-position model. The record is from RNAcentral.
UACGGGGGGGGCAAGCGUUGUUCGGAAUUACUGGGCGUAAAGGGCUCGUAGGCGGCCAACUAAGUCAUACGUGAAAUCCCUCGGCUUAACCGGGGAACUGCGUCUGAUACUGGAUGGCUUGAGUUCGGGAGAGGGAUGCGGAAUUCCAGGUGUAGCGGUGAAAUGCGUAGAUAUCGGAAGGAACAUCAGUGGCGAAAGCGACUUCCUGGACCAAUACUGACGCUCAUGUGCGAAAGCGUGGGGAGCAAACAGG